This 301-nucleotide ribosomal RNA is filed under the name uncultured bacterium. RNAcentral's name for it is "partial 16S ribosomal RNA". It matches the Rfam family "Bacterial small subunit ribosomal RNA", at positions 509 to 809 of the family's 1533-position model. The record is from RNAcentral.
CAGCAGCCGCGGUAAUACGAAGGGUGCAAGCGUUAAUCGGAAUUACUGGGCGUAAAGCGUGCGUAGGCGGUUCGUUAAGUCUGUUGUGAAAGCCCCGGGCUCAACCUGGGAAUGGCAAUGGAUACUGGCGAGCUAGAGUGUGUCAGAGGAUGGUAGAAUUCCCGGUGUAGCGGUGAAAUGCGUAGAGAUCGGGAGGAACAUCAGUGGCGAAGGCGGCCAUCUGGGACAACACUGACGCUGAGGCACGAAAGCGUGGGGAGCAAACAGGAUUAGAUACCCCUGUAGUCCCUGUCUCUUAUAA